Zeugodacus cucurbitae (melon fly) is the source of this 1993-nucleotide long non-coding RNA. RefSeq lists it as uncharacterized. The record is from RefSeq and is a predicted model, not a curated record. The transcript is spliced from 6 exons. NCBI's taxonomy places the organism in Eukaryota, Metazoa, Arthropoda, Insecta, Diptera, Tephritidae.
UUAAAGUAGUUGUUAUUCACCAUAAGUAAAAAACAUUUAAAUUGCAUUUUAAUAUUUUUUAGCUGCAAACAUUUGUGAAAUAAUUAUUAGACACAUAUAUUUUCGUAAAACAAAAAUAUGUGGAGCAAAUGGUCUUUAAAGUCUUAAUGGUCUAAGGGUAGACGUAACCGAAAUACAUUAACCGGUAGAGGUGUCGUAAGGAUAUCGUCGCUUUAAAUUUGUUGCGGUGGCAGGGCGUUCACUACUACGUUGGCGGCAACAGUUACUUUGCGGCGUGUUUGGUUGGAAAAAAAUGUCUCAACCCGUAUCUCUUCUUCUCUCGCUUUCUAACCUACCCGCAUCAUUUACUUCGUGGUCGAACUUGUAAUCCGGUGAUUAAACAUUAUCGACUUCAAGCAAUGACAACGUUGAGUCGAGCUAAAAACGUAGACAGCUAGACGCAUAACUACUCAAACUAAAUAUAUUUAGAGAAGCAAGACUACUGCCUAUAAGAUUGUAGAGCUUGUGGCAAAGGAUUUUAUUAGCAAAUUUCUUUGCUUUUCAAGCAGAAUGCGCUUUGGGCUAUUUUCCCAGGAAUGCGUUGGACAAAAACAAGCAAACCACGACUAAAACUUCGGAAACUUGAAGGAGCAGACGAAUCGGAAGUGUGGAAGGAGAAGAGAGCACAGAGGAAGCAUGCCAGAAAUAGAUAGAACUUAAAUAUAUGGAUAUAUAUAAAUGUAUAUGGGACAAGUAGCGCUUCCUAUAGCUGAUGACCAAGAGAAAAAAAUGAAGUCGAGUUUGCGGAUUAAGCGCGACUGAGUACAAAGUUGAGUAUAAGCGCGCAAGUGUUGCUGUGAUACAGCUUGCUUGCAAUCCUGUGACGAAAUCACAAAAAUGUACUGUAAAUAAUUAUGCGGCGUUCAAAGUGAAAAGCUGCGUCAGCCAACCGGUCGCGUCUAUAAGUUCGCUGAAUUGAGUAAUUGCAUUGGAAAAUGAAUUGAGAAAUUGCAUUGAAGUCACUGCUUGACUGUGUGCGUGUGCGGCAAACGCUAAUUGCGGCACAAAAGUGCGCGGACGGCUACUAGACACUGGCAACAAAUUGUGUGGUUUUUAUUUAAGUAAGCAAACACAUUUGUAUUGAGUUGAUUUGCUAUGAAUUUGCAUUUUUCUAUUGCCAAUUGUCAAUUGAUUGCAUAUUAAUUUAUUGUUAAGCAAACGCUUGUUGUGAUGAUAUAACUGUUUAUAUUUUUUUUAACGGAUGCUUUCUCAACACUUAAAUACUCGAUAAGUCAAUCAAUCAUCAUUUGCCAAGCGGUUGUAAUUAUAUAGGAAUCUUCAUCAGGUUUAUUAUUUAAAAUUUUGCUGUGGGAUUAUGAGUUGUAAUAUUGCAAUUCUGGUGUUGUAAGGCGUUUUCGAUUUGCAUAUGACAAUAAUAAGCGUAAAUAAUUAAUCUUGUGAAGUAAAAAUCAAUCAGAAGAAUUAUCAAAUAAUGAGCUCCGUUAGAAAAUUAUUUUUUGUAAAAGAAACUCACAUCGAAAAAUUUAACAGAUUAAAAUUGUGAGAUUUGUCUUGCAUCAAUUUUGAAAAAUGUUUUGAACAUUUUUGAAAAAUUACAUACAUUUUAUUUUCGAAACCUUUUAAACAAACUACAUAUUUCUAACUGUUCAAGAGUGCAAGAAAUUUAUAAUUUUUGUGAGGCAAGAUUAAGCUGCCUUUUGAGAAUCGGUAUUAAAUAGAUAUUUUCACAAUCACAAUUUUUCGAAAAAGAGACAUCACUACAUUUAGAGAAUAAUAUUUAUAUAUUAAUUUAAUUAUAUUAAAUAAGAAAACCCUAUAAGAUAAGCUACACUGCUCACGGAGAGAAAAAAAAUUAAUUAUUCCGUUAUUGUCCCUGAUGUUUUUAUCCGGACGCGUGUUUGGUGUAACUUGCAUGUACUACGAUAAUACUCAAUGUAUUUCCCCUCUAUAUAAUAUAAUCCACAAAAUUGUCAUUCAACCACUAACCUGUUGU